GGCUGACCCAGGGGAGGAUAAUGGUGUCGGUGGAGCCUUUUGUGCUGCUUGGUGGGCUGAAGCGGCUCCUGGGAGGUUCUGCAUCCAUUAUUUAAACAAUAGUGAAACUAAUGCAUUAAUAUGAAUCUUAUAGAAAAAGCAGAUGCCAAGAAGAGCACUCUGGACAACAGAGAAUGAGAAACAGCAUUAAAAUGCAAAACAACCAUCAAUCAAAAUAUUUCCAUUUCUUCCAGAGAGUGUUGAAACUUCUUUUUCCUGAGCAGAUGGAGGGAGACAAUGGAGAGAAUGAUAGGAACAGAGUU
This is a non-coding RNA of Pseudonaja textilis, 302 nucleotides long. The record is from RefSeq and is a predicted model, not a curated record. Lineage: Eukaryota; Metazoa; Chordata; Lepidosauria; Squamata; Elapidae.